GUACGGGCUGCUGCGGCCGUGGGCGAAACAGCUGCGCGCGCUGCCGUUACGCACUGCUGGCGCGACAGCGCGGGAGUCGCUGGUGACGGGAAAGAAGAAAGAAAAGAUGCGCACUACCGGGCCACGCACAUGUUCGGGAACAUCUGAGGACGACCAAGUGUGCGCGUGCGGUGUGUGUUCGGCGAGUUCACGGCGAUCGCGCCAACGCCUGACGAAGUGUGACCAACGGCCGUUGUCUGCCGCAUAAGCGAUGUCUUCGAUGGAUGUGUGCAUACGGUGAAGUUGUUUACAAGCAAGUAUCAGGUGUUCAGCCGUUUCCUCCUCCUCUGCACACGCCCCGCACAACAAGUGUCUCUCCUGGUGCCUGGCUCGUUUGUGCGAGUUCCGCAAGCCAGAAAAACUAGCGCAGCACUAUGUGAUACCAAAACUAUUAAAACACGAAAUCACGGGUGGCACUGGUGUCGAGCGAAAACGAAACCUUUUGACCGCCCACAUCAUUGUGGAGGUAAGGAUAGGAAAACUGCUUAGGCUGCACCUUGGAUUCAAGCAGCAGUUUUUAUGAAGAGGAUACAUGUUAUCCAUAUUGGUCCAGAAAAUGUGCAUCCAUCCACGUUUGGAGAAGUCACUACAAGCAGCCAGCAUAGUUCAACAUGUAGUUUAGCUAGAAGACAGCCUAUACAGCCUGUACCAUGAGUCCCUGCUCGCCCAAGUACAUAGGGAACCAUAACGUUUCAGCAGCAAGAAAAAAAUAUGGUGACAAUUCACCAUGCUUAUCGACCACACGGUGGAACUCUUCAGGCAAAUGGAAUUUCCACAGCUUCAGCAGAACACAGCAACCAUAAGAAAGGGCAAGUUUAGAGGGGUCCACACUGACGACAAUGUGUCCUUACCUGACUUCAUUAAAAGAACUCGUGUCGGGAGCAAAGUUCGUGGUCAGCACUUGUCUUUGUCUAUUCUAAUCUUUGAUUGGGCAUCCGCUGCAAUUUGUAGUAAUGUAUGCAGCUGAGCCUCAAUGUAAUGAACAUGGAUAUAAUGAAUUAUUGGAUAUAAGAAAGUAAAUGUAAAAUUUUGCUCACUUAUAUCAGCAUGUAACAAACAUAUGCUGAUAACAAAUAUAUGAAAUAACAAAGUUUCACUGUAGUAGGUUCUGCAACACACAAAACAUCAAAAGCAGGCUAAUGGGUUAAUUGGCAGUGCAUUAUAUGGUGUCUAGCGCAAGGUCACUCAAGCCGACAGGGAACACAAAGACAUGGCGCCAUGUCUUCACCUCCCUUGUCAUUUUGCAGGCCCCAUUUGUGCUAGAGAUCGCAUAAUGAAAAACAUUUUCCAGUGCUAGAGGACAAGGCUUUGCUAGAUGGAAGCAGACUAGACAAUAGAAAAGAUGGAAUAAUCGGGCCAAUUGUACUAAGAACUGUAGUUGAGGCUGAAAUUCAAGCCAGUUAAGUUUCUUGUUUUUAGGCCUGACAAAUACUCUGCAAGUUCAUUCUAGGAAUUAUGAAAGCAGGACCAGAAAGACGAACCAAACAGAACCACUGCCUUGUCCACUCUGCUCCCUAUUUCUGAAAGUCUUGCCCCUCAGCACUGGUAAAUAAGUUCUGCAACAUUUCCACACAGCCAGCUUGAUGUGACCAAGAAGU
Long non-coding RNA from Dermacentor andersoni, 1637 nucleotides. RefSeq lists it as uncharacterized. NCBI's taxonomy places the organism in Eukaryota, Metazoa, Arthropoda, Arachnida, Ixodida, Ixodidae. The record is from RefSeq and is a predicted model, not a curated record.